CACAGAGGAGUUUCGGACUGGAAGAACGCCGUGUACAGCGGCUGUGUCACCGGAGGAGCUAUUGGAUUUCGUGCUGGUCUGAAGGCGGGGGUGCUGGGAUGUGGAGGCUUCGCCGCGUUCUCCGCCGCCAUCGAAUAUUAUUUACGGUGAAACACUUGAAGAGCCGAUCUGUGGACUUAACGGAUGCUCAUUUCUAUGAGCCAUGUGGGAAUAUUUACGCGCACGGAGGAUUGAAGUGAUAUAUUUGGUUAAAAGUGACGGUUUGAGGUUACGUUUACCAAACGAACACUUUGAGCUAAAAAAACAACUUCAUGUGGAGAAAUCUGCGUCUGAGCCGAAUUUCUCUUCAAUCUGAGUCACGACCAACAAAAAUCAGACUCAGAUUAAUAUUUUUUUUUGUUGUAAAACAUUUGAAUGAUGUGUUCAUUAAACUAAUCCACAUCAGAUUUAUUAUUUAUGUGACAAUAAAGAUGUUUUUU
Plectropomus leopardus (leopard coralgrouper) is the source of this 479-nucleotide non-coding RNA. NCBI's taxonomy places the organism in Eukaryota, Metazoa, Chordata, Actinopteri, Perciformes, Serranidae. The record is from RefSeq and is a predicted model, not a curated record.